RNAcentral lists this ribosomal RNA (443 nucleotides) under uncultured bacterium. RNAcentral describes it as "partial 16S ribosomal RNA". It matches the Rfam family "Bacterial small subunit ribosomal RNA", at positions 338 to 795 of the family's 1533-position model. The record is from RNAcentral.
CCUACGGGUGGCAGCAGUGGGGAAUAUUGGGCAAUGGAGGCAACUCUGACCCAGCAACGCCGCGUGAGUGAUGAAGGUCUUCGGAUUGUAAAACUCUUUAAGUGGGGACGAAGAAAGUGACUGUACCCACAGAAUAAGCCUCGGCUAACUACGCGCCAGCAGCCGCGGCAAUACGGAGGAGGCAAGCGUUAUUCGGAAUGACUGGGCGUAAAGGGUGCGUAGGGGGUUUGGCAAGUUAGUAGCGUAAUUCCGGGGCUCAACUUCGGAACUACUACUGAAACUGCUGGGCUUGAGUGCAGGAGGGGGAAAGGGAAUUCCUAGUGUAGCGGUGGAAUGCGUAGAUAUUAGGAGGAACACCAGUGGCGAAGGCGAGAUGCUGGACUGUAACUGACACUGAGGCACGAAAGCGUGGGGAGCAAACAGGAUUAGAUACCCGUGUAGUC